GCCUCGACCGAGUCCAUCACGUGAAAAAAGGAGGAGCAAUCGACGCAAGCCCUUCCUAUUCAAUCACGGCAUCACACAGGCCGCGGACGCAGCUAUUCGAGCCCUAGCCGCCGACACCCGACGUUCGUACUGGUACUGCCGGUGACGCCGCCUCCCUCCUGAGUGUGCUGUGUAACCGAGGUCUAUGGACCUAUCAAAGGGUCUUGCUGCAUAUGGUUAGGGUUGCAUUGCGUGGAAGGGGCGAAUGGAGUGCUGAAAGCAGAAUCGUAGGAGAUGGUGCACAAUAUGAGGAAUGACAGUAAAGGCUUCAACUACGAUGAAGGUGAUGCCCAAUUUGACCAUUAGUAUAUUCUCAUCAAGGCAAUCUGUAAUUUCUGCUAUGACAUGGAUUUUCCAUUGUGAGGGGCGUCUCUCAUGAAGAAUGUGAUUUCUGCAUCAUACAACAUGUUGUUAGAACCUGAAUAUUCUAUGCAAGGAUUGACAUUUAAGAAGGA
Triticum aestivum (bread wheat) is the source of this 494-nucleotide long non-coding RNA. RefSeq lists it as uncharacterized. The transcript is spliced from 2 exons. Lineage: Eukaryota; Viridiplantae; Streptophyta; Magnoliopsida; Poales; Poaceae. The record is from RefSeq and is a predicted model, not a curated record.